CCUACGGGAUGCAGCAGUGAGGAAUAUUGGUCAAUGGGCGGGAGCCUGAACCAGCCAAGCCGCGUGAGGGAAGAAGGUACAGCGUAUCGUAAACCUCUUUUGUCAGGGAACAAAGGCGGGGACUAGUCCCCGGAUGAGGGUACCUGAAGAAAAAGCAUCGGCUAACUCCGUGCCAGCAGCCGCGGUAAUACGGAGGAUGCGAGCGUUAUCCGGAUUUAUGGGGUUUAAAGGGUGCGCAGGCGGCCUGUUAAGGCAGCGGUAAAAGCCCGGGGCUCAACCCCGGCGAGCCGUUGAAACUGGCGGGCUGGAGUUGGAGAGAAGUACGCGGAAUGCGCGGUGUAGCGGUGAAAUGCUUAGAUAUCGCGCAGAACCCCGAUUGCGAAGGCAGCGUACCGGCUCCACACUGACGCUGAGGCACGAAAGCGUGGGUAUCGAACAGGAUUAGAUACCCUUGUAGUC
Molecule: ribosomal RNA, 459 nt
Filed under: uncultured bacterium
Lineage: Bacteria
Description: partial 16S ribosomal RNA
Rfam family: Bacterial small subunit ribosomal RNA
Source: RNAcentral